CUGGCAAAUGUUCAAAGACUCAAAUGCACACACAUACACACGAAGCAUACAUGCACACAUACUCUUCCCAAAGAUUGCCAAAAGCCAAUAAAACUAUGGGUUAUUUACAGUGAAAGAGGAAACAAAUUAUUAACCACGAUACAGUUUAUAGCUUAUUUUUAGGGAUAAACAUAUUAACUUAAAUUCAUUCUUAGAAGUGUUUAAAAAUAAUUACUUUUUAAAAUAGGCCUCUGCUAUGUAAUAGAGAUAAUGCUAUUCACAAUGUGAAAUAUCCAUUCCCACUGUCUUCAUUUGCUAUUUAAACAUGAAUGUAUAUUUGAUAGGGUCAUUGAACUUAUGGAUUUGACAAUAAUACAUAUUCUCUAUUUCCUUAAAUAUUAUCUCCUAUUUGGAAUUUAUUAUAACACAGAUUCAGUGUAAGUCACGAAAAACUAGUCCUUUUAAUAUUUUUAAAUGAAACCUUUCACUUACUCUGUCCUCCUGAAUUCCACGAAACGUUUAUUUCCAUUAAAACAUUCUAAGGAAAUUUGGGUUAAGCUACUGAUCAUUUCAUAAGAUCCAGUGAUUAAGAGUGGCUUUGAUUAAUUGCUGACAUUUGAACUUGCAGUGGGAUAAUAAUAAGUGGAGUUAACAUUUACUAAGCACUUAGAGCAGGAUAGACACCAUUUUAAGCACUACACUUACCUCAUUUAGUCCUCACAAUAACUAAACAGAUUAUGUAAUAAUCCCCACUUUAUAGAUGUUGAAGCGAAGUUACAGAGAAUUUAGCAAAGAUCAUACAGCCAGCCAGUGGCAGAACUUGAAUUCACACCUUCUUCCUUGUGUUUCAACUACCUUAAACAUUUGCUGCUCAGAAUACAAGCUUCUUAUCCAAGACAGUAUUUCCAGAAAUACAACUUGAGCAAAGCCAAGACAGAAUGAAAACAAAAGAAGGAGAUACCUUACUAGAUUUCUUAUCAUUCAUCUGUCAAUAUAAAAGAUACAAAAACUGGAAGACAGCAAAGACCAGGAAGUCUUAGGACUGUGCUGUAGAACUACAAUGAAAUAAAUAAAUAUGAAAGCUUU
This is a long non-coding RNA of Leopardus geoffroyi (Geoffroy's cat), 1065 nucleotides long. RefSeq lists it as uncharacterized. The record is from RefSeq and is a predicted model, not a curated record. The transcript is spliced from 3 exons. NCBI's taxonomy places the organism in Eukaryota, Metazoa, Chordata, Mammalia, Carnivora, Felidae.